UUGAAAUGGAAAAAGUGCAAG
This 21-nucleotide non-coding RNA is filed under the name Caenorhabditis elegans. The record is from RNAcentral. Lineage: Eukaryota; Metazoa; Nematoda; Chromadorea; Rhabditida; Rhabditidae.